Molecule: ribosomal RNA, 414 nt
Filed under: uncultured bacterium
Lineage: Bacteria
Description: bacterial SSU rRNA
Rfam family: Bacterial small subunit ribosomal RNA
Source: RNAcentral
GACGAACGCUGGCGGCGUGCUUAACACAUGCAAGUCGAACGAGAGGACAAGAGAAGCUUGCUUCUUUUGGAAUCGAGUGGCAAACGGGUGAGUAACACGUAAACAACCUGCCUUCAGGAUGGGGACAACAGACGGAAACGACUGCUAAUACCGAAUACGCUUGGGAGACCGCAUGAUCUUCCAAGGAAAGGGUGGCCUCUACUUGUAAGCUAUCGCCUGAAGAGGGGUUUGCGUCUGAUUAGGCAGUUGGUGAGGUAACGGCCCACCAAACCUACGAUCAGUAGCCGGUCUGAGAGGAUGAACGGCCACACUGGAACUGAGACACGGUCCAGACUCCUACGGGAGGCAGCAGUGGGGAAUCUUCCGCAAUGGGCGAAAGCCUGACGGAGCAACGCCGCGUGAGUGAUGACGGCC